Molecule: ribosomal RNA, 494 nt
Filed under: uncultured bacterium
Lineage: Bacteria
Description: bacterial SSU rRNA
Rfam family: Bacterial small subunit ribosomal RNA
Source: RNAcentral
GAUGAACGCUAGCGGCAGGCUUAACACAUGCAAGUCGAACGGCAGCACAGGUAGCAAUACUGGGUGGCGAGUGGCGCACGGGUGCGUAACGCGUAUGCAACCUACCGUCUAUCUGGGAGAUAGCCCGAAGAAAUUCGGAUUAAUACCCCAUAAUAUAUGUCUUUCGCGAUGUUAGACAUAUUAAAACUUUGGUCGGAUAGAGAUGGGCAUGCGUGACAUUAGCUAGUUGGUAAGGUAACGGCUUACCAAGGCUACGAUGUCUAGGGGGUCUGAGAGGAUUAUCCCCCACACUGGUACUGAGACACGGACCAGACUCCUACGGGAGGCAGCAGUGAGGUAAUAUUGGACGAAUGGGCGAAAGCCUGAUCCAGCCCAUGCCGCGUGCAGGAAGACGGCCCUAUGGGUUGUAAACUGCUUUUUANAUGGGAAUAAACCUCCGAACGUGUUCGGAGCUGAAGGUACCAUACGAAUAGGAUCGGCUAACUCCGUGCCAG